GACGAACGCUGGCGGCGUGCUUAACACAUGCGAGUCGAACGGAAAGGCCCUGCUUGUGUGGGGUUCUCGAUUGGCGAACGGGUGAGUAACACGUGAGUAACCUGCCCUUGACUUUGGUAUAGCUUCAGGAAACUGGGGCUAAUACCGGAUAGGAGCUCCUGCUGCAUGGUGGGGGUGGGAAAGUUUCGGCGGUUGGGGAUGGACUCGCGGCUUAUCAGCUUGUUGGUGGGGUAGUGGCUUACCAAGGCUUUGACGGGUAGCCGGCCUGAGAGGGUGACCGGCCACAUGGGGACUGAGAUACGGCCCAGACUCCUACGGGAGGCAGCAGUGGGGAAUAUUGUACAAUGGGCCGAAGCCUGAUGCAGCAGCGCCGCGUGCGGGAUGACGGCCUUCGGGUUGUAAACCGCUUUCGCCUGUGACGAAGCGUGAGUGACGGUAAUGGGUAAAGAAGCACCGGCUAACUACGUG
RNAcentral lists this ribosomal RNA (468 nucleotides) under uncultured bacterium. RNAcentral's name for it is "partial 16S ribosomal RNA". It matches the Rfam family "Bacterial small subunit ribosomal RNA", at positions 28 to 507 of the family's 1533-position model. The record is from RNAcentral.